RNAcentral lists this ribosomal RNA (423 nucleotides) under uncultured cyanobacterium. RNAcentral's name for it is "bacterial SSU rRNA". It matches the Rfam family "Bacterial small subunit ribosomal RNA", at positions 356 to 795 of the family's 1533-position model. Lineage: Bacteria; Bacillati; Cyanobacteriota. The record is from RNAcentral.
GGGGAAUUUUCCGCAAUGGGCGCAAGCCUGACGGAGCAACGCCGCGUGAGGGAUGAAGGCCUCUGGGCUGUAAACCUCUUUUCUCAAGGAAGAAGACCUGACGGUACUUGAGGAAUAAGCCACGGCUAAUUCCGUGCCAGCAGCCGCGGUAAUACGGGAGUGGCAAGCGUUAUCCGGAAUUAUUGGGCGUAAAGCGUCCGCAGGCGGCCUUGAAAGUCUGUUGUUAAAGCGUGGAGCUUAACUCCAUUUCAGCAAUGGAAACUACAAGGCUAGAGUGUGGUAGGAGCAGAGGGGAUUCCCGGUGUAGCGGUGAAAUGCGUAGAUAUCGGGAAGAACACCAGUGGCGAAGGCGCUCUGUGGGCCAUAACUGACGCUCAUGGACGAAAGCCAGGGGAGCGAAAGGGAUUAGAUACCCCUGUAGUC